AGUUAUAACAACCUUUACAUCCAACUUCAACAACAAUAUUAUCACAACAAGAGUUAAGAUAACUUGUAGUUUUUAUUAUGUCACUUCUUGUACUGGAUAUUUGUGCUGUCAUCUACACCAUUAAGUAAACUACCACGAGAAGCGUUCAAGUACGGACUAGGUGCAUAUUUAUAAACUGAAAGAGGUAGAAGUUCUGGAGCUAAAGUUAUGACCAGUUGAGUCGACUUUAUAGCCGCCAUCCAAGAGUAAAACAUCUUUGUUACUAGCCAGCAGCCAGUAAAAGCUCUUGUGACAUCAGUGGUUGAUAUAUACUGCCAGCAGUAAGUGCUAUGAAGGGAGAAGCCGUAAGAGACAAAACCUUAAAUACAUUUAUAUUUGAAUCUUAAGUUUAUCUCAUCGUCCAUAGUUUUACAGACUUAACUGUCUGGAAGAAAGUCAUCUUAGGAAAUAGUGCCUUGGCAUUUUAGAUAAAACAAAAAAUAUAAGAACAGAUCAUCAGUCAUAUAAUUUCUUGCACUGAAGAAAAGUAUUGUCUGGAAGUACAUACAAGACAGCAGUGUGUGAGAUUUGGUCACAUGCCAUUGAAGGAUUAGCCAACACCUACCAAGACUCAGAGACUGAUCACUUCAAAACUACUACCAUUAUUUACAGUGUUUAUUCACCUGUAUUUGACAAAAGAAAUGUUUUGAGCAGGUGACACCUUUCAGCGAUGAAGAUGCCAAAGUUUUGCAUAUGUCUUAUUCAUCAGUAAUGUGAAAGACUCUGACUUUGCACUGAAAUCACAUUUAGUAUUGCAGUGUUCAUUCUGAAAAACCUUGCAAAUCUUCAGUGUUUAAAAAGAGUAUUAAAGUGAAUCUAAUUAAAAACUCC
Molecule: long non-coding RNA, 870 nt
Organism: Cherax quadricarinatus
Lineage: Eukaryota; Metazoa; Arthropoda; Malacostraca; Decapoda; Parastacidae
Source: RefSeq, a predicted model, not a curated record